Long non-coding RNA from Daphnia carinata, 243 nucleotides. RefSeq lists it as uncharacterized. The record is from RefSeq and is a predicted model, not a curated record. Lineage: Eukaryota; Metazoa; Arthropoda; Branchiopoda; Diplostraca; Daphniidae. The transcript is spliced from 3 exons.
AGAAAUAUCACGAUUUUAUUGAACUGGCUGAUGAGGCUAUCUCCUCGUUUACGAAGGUCGUUGAUGGAAAAACAGUCCCCAUGUGGUCACGGGAAACAAUUGACGAGAUUGUAAUGGGCCAGGAUUCGACACGACAGCUACCACUAUGACAAACGCUUGCUUUCAAUUGGCCAGGAAUCCCGAUGUUCAGGAGGCUUUAUACAAGAGCAUUAUUAAGAAAAUGGAAAGCUACGAUGAAGUGUG